CCAUUGGGAGCCCUGUGAUCCAUUCAUUAGCUGACUGUGAGCAUCCACUUCUGUGUUUGCAUUAGGUAUGAGGGACAGGGGGAGUGAGUACAAGGACAGACGACUUUCGAAUGGGCUGCUACAUAUCUGGGAGGAGCUAGAAACCAAGGGCUCUACAUACUCCCAGGAAUUUAUCAGGGUGACCCUAGCUAGUACUCCUAGCAGUGGGAGAUAUAGUCCCUGAACCUGCCAUUUUCCAUAAUCAGGCAGUGGAAGGAGUGGGAGACCAGCCCAAUCACCAAAGUUUUAACCUACAAUUCGUCCCACCUGCAAGAUGUGCGGUGAUAAAGGUGGAGCAGAGGUUGAGGGGAUGCUCAGCUAAUGACUUGGUUAAGCUUGUGGUCCAUGACAAGAAGAGCCCACCCCUGCUACUGUGAUGAUACUCUGCUGUACUUGCACACAGGUGCCUAGCAUAACUGCCCUCAGGGCGGCUUACCCCAUAACUGAUGGAAACAGGUGCAGUAACCCACAACCAAACACUAAGUAGAGCGUGGGGAAUCCUGUGGAAGAGAGGGAGGAAGGAUUGAAGGAGCCAGAAGGGUCAACUAAACUGGACCCACUGGGGGCUCAUAGAGACUAAACUGUCAACAUGAAAGUAUGCAUGAGAUGGACCUAGGCCCCCUGAUCAUAUGAAACAGUUGUGCAGCUAGGUCUUCAUGUGGGACUCCUAAAGUGGGAGCAGGGGCAGUCUCUGACUACAUUCCCUGCCUUUGGAUCCAUUUCCCUUAAAUGGGCUGCCUGAUGUAGCCUAAAUAGGAAAAAGAUGCCCAGUAGGGUAUCUGUGAGGUCCUGCCCAGUCUGAUCUUCAAGACGACUUCUAGGACAGCCAGCAAUAUAGAAAGUGACUUGGUCUCAAAAAAGCAAACGAGGAAGCAAACGAGCAAAGAAAUCUUCAACAUUUUAAGCCAUCAGAUCAACGAUCAACGCAAAGUAACUUUGAGAUUCUCUUACCUGGUCAGAAUGGCCAAGACAAUGAAAACCAACAAGAGCUUAUAUUCCUGGAUAAGAGAGGGAUACACCUCAUUCUUAGUAGAUAUAUCCACCCCACCCUCACUAUCUUAUCUACUCACUAGCCUUACUAACUCACCCUGAGUAUCAGCAGGCUCUCCGGUCUUGCCAAGAUCCUUCCUGGUGGUUCUGAUUAAGUGAGGUUUGGAGAAUCAGCUGUGGUUCACAAGAUACCAGGCCACUAGAUGAAACCUUUGCUUUGCUGUGAUACUUGAUGCUGGUCACUGGAGCGGAGAAACUUUCAGUGAUCAAGAAAAAAACAAAAAACAAAACAAAAAACCAAGCAGGGGCUCUAGAGAUGGCUCAGUGGUUAGCGGCACUGGUUGCUCUUCCAGAAGACCUGGGUUCAAUUCCAAGCACCUACAUGGCAGCUCAAAAAUUGUCCAUAACCAGUUCCAGGACAUCUGAUAACCGCACCCAGGCAGACAGACAUGCAAGCAAAACACCGAUGCAUAUAACAUCAAAGAUAAAACAUAGGUGAGCGGGCACCGGAGGAGCGGCGCAGGGCUGGCGGGGGGGUGGGGCUUCAGGGGCUCUGGGGCCCGGCAGGUUGCUUCAGACAAGCACUGAUGUCAGCCUGGUGUCUUCAGGACGCGUUUCUCAUGAUCGGGAGCCAUAAGACCACCAUCUUCACUGAAGUCAAGGAGUCGAGCACGGUGUUCGAGCUGAAGCUUAACGUCCAGGGCAUCCCUAAGCAGCCGCGGGAGAAGCAGAAGCUAUACAAGGACCAACUCCUUCAUGACAGGAAAACUCUGAGUGAGUUUGGCGUCACUAGUCAGACAGCACAGCUCCUGGCCCCAGCCACGGUGGGCCUGGCCUUCUGAGCAGAUGACGCCCUGGAAGCUCUGCGCAGCCACCCCUUUUCUAGUCCUCUGGAGCGUCCAUAUGUGACGAAGCCACAGGAUUCUGGGGGCAGUGCCAAUGAACAAGCUGUGCGGUGAGGCCCCAGGCCCAUCUACUAGAGACCCGUUCCCCCAA
RNA transcript from Mus musculus (house mouse), 2025 nucleotides. It is a transcript of the gene named predicted gene, 31941, with no coding region annotated. The transcript has a single exon. Lineage: Eukaryota; Metazoa; Chordata; Mammalia; Rodentia; Muridae. The record is from RefSeq and is a predicted model, not a curated record.